Hibiscus syriacus is the source of this 111-nucleotide small nucleolar RNA. RefSeq annotates it as small nucleolar RNA snoR104. The record is from RefSeq and is a predicted model, not a curated record. NCBI's taxonomy places the organism in Eukaryota, Viridiplantae, Streptophyta, Magnoliopsida, Malvales, Malvaceae. The transcript has a single exon.
GGGAAGCAUCAAAGAGAUGAGAUGCUUCCUGAUACAAUCUUCCUACAUAAAAACUCUGAUGUUUCCUUGCUUAUAGUAACUCGUGCAAGUCACAAACCUCCAGAGACAUGA